AGAGUUUGAUCCUGGCUCAGGACGAACGCUGGCGGCGUGCUUAACACAUGCAAGUCGAACGGGAUCGGUCAAGCUUGCUUGACUGUGAGAGUGGCGAACGGGUGAGUAAUGGGUGACUAACCUGCCCCUUGCACCGGAAUAGCUCCUGGAAACGGGUGGUAAUGCCGGACGUUCCACAACACCGCAUGGUGUUGUGGGGAAGGCCUUCGGGCGGCAAGGGAUGGAGUCGCUUCCUAUCAGCUUGACGGUGGGGUAACGGCCUACCGUGGCAACGACGGGUAGCCGGCCUGAGAGGGCGGCCGGCCACAUUGGGACUGAGAUACGGCCCAGACUCCUACGGGAGGCAGCAGUGGGGAAUAUUGCGCAAUGGGGGAAACCCUGACGCAGCGACGCCGCGUGCGGGAUGAAGGCCUUCGGGUUGUAAACCGCUUUUGUUGGGGAGCAAGCGAGAGUGAGUGUACCCUUCGAAUAAGGACCGGCUAACUACGUGCCAGCAGCCGCGGUAAUACGUAGGGUCCAAGCGUUGUCCGGAAUUAUUGGGCGUAAAGGGCUCGUAGGCGGUCGGUCGCGUCUGGUGUGAAAGCCCACUGCUUAACAGUGGGUCUGCGUUGGAUACGGGCUGACUAGAGUGCGGUAGGGGAGACUGGAAUUCCCGGUGUAACGGUGGAAUGUGUAGAUAUCGGGAAGAACACCAAUGGCGAAAGGCAGGUCUCUGGGCCGUUACUGACGCUGAGGAGCGAAAGCGUGGGGAGCGAACAGGAUUAGAUACCCUGGUAGUCCACGCUGUAAACGGUGGAUGCUGGAUGUGGGGCCCUUUCCACGGGUUCCGUGUCGUAGCUAACGUGUUAAGCAUCCCGCCUGGGGAGUACGGCCGCAAGGCUAAAACUCAAAGAAAUUGACGGGGGCCCGCACAAGCGGCGGAGCAUGCGGAUUAAUUCGAUGCAACGCGAAGAACCUUACCUGGGCUUGACAUGUGGACGACGGGCGGAGAGAUUCGUCUUCCCUUCGGGGCGUCCUCACAGGUGGUGCAUGGUCGUCGUCAGCUCGUGUCAUGAGAUGUUGGGUCAAGUCCCGCAACGAGCGCAACCCUCGCCUCGUGUUGCCAGCACAUUAUGGUGGGCACUCACGGGGGACCGCCGGGGUUAACCCGGAGGAAGGUGGGGAUGACGUCAGAUCAUCAUGCCCCUUACGUCCAGGGCUUCACGCAUGCUACAAUGGCCAGCACAACGGGAUGCGAUGGGGUGACCCGGAGCGGAUCCCUUAAAGCUGGUCUCAGUUCGGAUCGGAGCCUGCAACUCGGCUCCGUGAAGGUGGAGUCGCUAGUAAUCGCGGAUCAGCAUUGCCGCGGUGAAUGCGUUCCCGGGCCUUGUACACACCGCCCGUCAAGUCAUGAAAGUCGGCAACACCCGAAGCCCGUGGCCUAUCCAUUUUGGGGGGAGCGGUCGAAGGUGGGGCAGGCGAUUGGGACUAAGUCGUAACAAGGUAGCCGUACCGGAAGGUGCGGCUGGAUCACCUCCUU
Molecule: ribosomal RNA, 1519 nt
Filed under: uncultured bacterium
Lineage: Bacteria
Description: bacterial SSU rRNA
Rfam family: Bacterial small subunit ribosomal RNA
Source: RNAcentral